GUAUCUAUAGAAAACAGACCUCUCGACAAAUGCAGGUAGGCGUUGAAUGCCUGGCCCUUUGGGCAACCCGUCGGUGGAUUUUCCGACAGCAAAAUCAAUCUAGAUUGGAUCGCGUUAGGUUGCACUAAAGUCAACCCAACCCUACGGUGGUUCAGAUCCAAACAGCCCCUUUGACUCAAGCCCAAGUCAACUUGACUGGUAUUUAACAGCUUGGGUAGUGGGAUCCCCAGAAGAACUACCCCUUCCCCACUCCGCACCCCCCAAGAUAAACCCGACUGAAUCACUUCUUCUCCAUCAUCCGGUUCCACCUUUGGACCUUGACCCAGUAAACUUUAUCACACAUUUAUUAAGAGUUAAUGCCUGUGGGAUAUAAAUGGAUCUGUUGCAGCCUGCAGAGUUUAAUGAAUGCGCAAACCAAUUUUCCACUCAUUAGCUGAUAAAAAAUAAUAUACUGUGAAAAGGCACGCGGCAGAAUGACAGAUUACUUUUAUAGAGGCGGAUGCUCUGACCUGGAUGCGCCUUCAGCUGAUCCAGAUCCGAGGUUCAAGCGCCUCUCGACUACUGCCCAUCACCUUCAAACAUCGGAGAAGUUUAUGGAACUUUAUUGCCUGUAAUGCAUAUUGAUUAUUUAUGACAGUUAGAAGAGCCGUUAUAUGCGACUACAUGUGUAUAUGCCUGUAUAUAAUACACAGAGAGAGAGAGAGAGAGAGAGAGAGAGGCGCACUGUGCAAAAUUCUAUGUAGAAGUUGUCCCAUAUGUGUCGUCAUGUUCAUCUCUCCUUAUAUUUAUCCAUCCUUGUCCAUAUCCCUGUGACCGUAUUCUAAAAUAAUGUCGGUCUGAAUAAAAGAGUGAAUGUGAGCAGAUCAGACGGAUCGUUCGUUUUCAUUGAACUUUUGACGGGUACGCCGGGAUCUUGAUUGAGGAGAGAAAUAUAUGGAGGGCAAAGUCAAAGAAAACCCUUCAAGAUGUCAACGGCAGCAAUUCGAAACUUCACAAGAGACUAGUGGAUUAGGUGGAUCGCAGCUGUGGAAAAUCGCCAACUCAACGAGGGCAUACAACAGAAAAAUAAGCUCUUUGAAGAAAAAAGUUCGAUCGAGAAAGUAAACUAUUUGAAAGUAUCCCGAGGAUAGCAGGGAAAGUGCAGAUAAAGUUGUUAUAUCAUGCCCGUCUUUUCUAGCUACAAAAGAUCCAUAUACAAAAAAAAAGUUAUAAUACUAUGCAUCUAAGUCAACGAUAACAUUGGUGGAAAAAAAAUGUAUAAACGUCAGUAAUGUCAUGCAUUAAGAAAGCUCUCCACGGAUGCAUGAGCAACCACAAGAACCAUACUUGGGUCUGUCUUGUAAUGUUCAGUAAGUAAUGAGCAGCAAAACCAAAAUUAAGCUAAAAGAACCGAUAUAUAGUUGAAGAUUAUUUCUCCAAAAUGACAUGAUACACAGUUAUCCUUUACCCAGGUUACGGAAGAGAAGCAAGUAUUUGGAAAUACACAGUUUCCCCAAGCCCUUACCCACGCAGUCCCACUCAGCUGGUUCUUCCACUGCACUCAAGGCGGGGACAAUGCUCUUCACUUCAGUGUCUCAAUUAUGUACGGAGGCAGAAAUCAAAUCGGAAUCAGCCUAAAAUCGUGCACCAGCAUUGGAGACGCUAUUCGCUUGAAUGAUGUUGACAGGAUAAAGAAAGACAGAAGAUCUUCAAUUGCCAACACGGCUAAUCAAUUCGUUUUAAGUCUCGAACAGAGAUUAUCAGUUGGUAUCGUUCGCGUGGUCGCCACUCUGCCGAUGUCGGAUCUGAUCAAGAAUUUCUUCCGAUAUCGGCAAAAUGUUCAAAAAAUUCAGAACAAAAUUAUGGCAACUCGAGAAGAGGGAAUCGCGCAUCGAUCCAGAGUUUUCACGGUCAGGCGAUGAUAUCAAACGAAUGGCAUUCAUCUAACCUCAAAUAAAUGUGGAAUCCCCACUUCGGAUCCUCCGAUAGUGACCAGAAAAAUUAUUCAGAUAAAGACAUGUAGAAGUUGACGAAGCUGACGCCAGAGAUUACCAUAAGAUUGAAGAAGUACAUACCUACCUCCAGCUGCCACCGACCAAAGAACCCCCCGCCAACAGAUCUCUCCUUCGGCCGAUAAUCCAUGGACUGAACGAUAACGGCCGGGGGGGGGGGGGGGGGAUGUGGGAGACGAC
RNAcentral lists this long non-coding RNA (2171 nucleotides) under Spirodela polyrhiza (greater duckweed). RNAcentral's name for it is "long non-coding RNA (SPOL_LNC001539)". The record is from RNAcentral. Lineage: Eukaryota; Viridiplantae; Streptophyta; Magnoliopsida; Alismatales; Araceae.